RNAcentral lists this ribosomal RNA (418 nucleotides) under uncultured bacterium. RNAcentral describes it as "bacterial SSU rRNA". It matches the Rfam family "Bacterial small subunit ribosomal RNA", at positions 355 to 787 of the family's 1533-position model. The record is from RNAcentral.
UGGGGAAUAUUGCACAAUGGGCGAAAGCCUGAUGCAGCAACGCCGCGUGAAGGAAGAAGGGUUUCGGCUCGUAAACUUCUAUCAACAGGGACGAAGGAAGUGACGGUACCUGAAUAAGAAGCCCCGGCUAACUACGUGCCAGCAGCCGCGGUAAUACGUAGGGGGCAAGCGUUAUCCGGAAUUACUGGGUGUAAAGGGUGAGUAGGCGGCAUGGUAAGCCAGAUGUGAAAGCCUCGGGCUUAACCCGAGGAUUGCAUUUGGAACUAUCAAGCUAGAGUACAGGAGAGGAAAGCGGAAUUCCUAGUGUAGCGGUGAAAUGCGUAGAUAUUAGGAAGAACACCAGUGGCGAAGGCGGCUUUCUGGACUGAAACUGACGCUGAGGCACGAAAGCGUGGGGAGCGAACAGGAUUAGAUACCC